This 255-nucleotide ribosomal RNA is filed under the name uncultured bacterium. Its description in RNAcentral is "partial 16S ribosomal RNA". It matches the Rfam family "Bacterial small subunit ribosomal RNA", at positions 524 to 776 of the family's 1533-position model. The record is from RNAcentral.
UACGUAGGGUGCAAGCGUUAAUCGGAAUUACUGGGCGUAAAGCGUGCGCAGGCGGUGAUGUAAGACAGAUGUGAAAUCCCCCGGGCUCAACCUGGGAACUGCAUUUGUGACUGCAUUGCUGGAGUGCGGCAGAGGGGGGAUGGAAUUCCGCGUGUAGCAGUGAAAUGCGUAGAUAUGCGGAGGAACACCGAUGGCGAAGGCAAUCCCCUGGGCCUGCACUGACGCUCAUGCACGAAAGCGUGGGGAGCAAACAGG